Molecule: transfer-messenger RNA, 347 nt
Filed under: Eubacteriales
Lineage: Bacteria; Bacillati; Bacillota; Clostridia
Also listed under: 2 other names
Description: GWF2-38-85 sp001797275 Standard tmRNA
Rfam family: transfer-messenger RNA
About the family: Bacterial tmRNA, also known as 10Sa RNA or SsrA, is named for its dual tRNA and mRNA-like properties. Its role is to liberate the mRNA from a stalled ribosome. To accomplish this part of the tmRNA is used as a reading frame that ends in a translation stop signal.
Source: RNAcentral
GGGGGCGUAAAGGUUUCGACGGGGAGUUUGAGGUAUGGUAAGCGAGCAGAAGCGCGCACCUUCUUUAAAAAGCGUAAACAAAAAUUUAAACGCUAACAAAACAGUUAGAGUAGCUGCCUAAGUGCAGCCGUCAUACCGGGGAGCACUGCGGCUCCGGAUAUGGCGUGACUAAGCAGUGAACGUGUGCCGAAAUAAGCUUUGCCAUCGGCCAUGAAUUAAUGAAGCUACCAAGCUAUAUAGACUGCUGCUUGUCGAUAUAGCGAGGGAAUGCAAAUAAACAGAUACGCUCGUAGAAAGCUAUAUCAAGAACUUUUCGGACAGGGGUUCAAUUCCCCUCGCCUCCACCA